AACGAACGCUGGCGGCGUGCCUAACACAUGCAAGUCGAACGAGAAAGGGGCUUCGGCUCCGAGUAAAGUGGCGCACGGGUGAGUAACACGUGGGUAACCUGCCUCUAAGAUUGGGAUAACUCGUCGAAAGAUGAGCUAAUACCGAAUAAGACCACAGUUCCCGCGGGAACAGGGGUCAAAGGUAGCCUCUGCUUGCAAGCUAUCACUUAGAGAUGGGCCUGCGCACCAUUAGCUAGUUGGUAGGGUAACGGCCUACCAAGGCAAAGAUGGUUAGCUGGUCUGAGAGGAUGAUCAGCCACACUGGAACUGAGACACGGUCCAGACUCCUACGGGGGGCAGCAGGGGGGAAUAUUGCGCAAUGGGCGAAAGCUUGACGCAGCAACGCCGCGUGAGUGAUGAAGGCCUUCGGGUCGUAAAGCUCUGUCGGGAGGAACGAAUGCUCCUGAGGUUAACAGCCUCGGGAGGUGACGGUACCUUCAAAGGAAGCACCGGCUAACUCUGUG
This 503-nucleotide ribosomal RNA is filed under the name uncultured bacterium. RNAcentral's name for it is "partial 16S ribosomal RNA". It matches the Rfam family "Bacterial small subunit ribosomal RNA", at positions 29 to 507 of the family's 1533-position model. The record is from RNAcentral.